GAUGAACGCUGGCGGCGUGCCUAAUACAUGCAAGUCGAGCGAACAGAUGAGGAGCUUGCUCCUCUGACGUUAGCGGCGGACGGGUGAGUAACACGUGGAUAACCUACCUAUAAGACUGGGAUAACUUCGGGAAACCGGAGCUAAUACCGGAUAAUAUAUUGAACCGCAUGGUUCAAUAGUGAAAGACGGUUUUGCUGUCACUUAUCGAUUGAUCCGCGCCGCAUUAGCUAGUUGGUAAGGUAACGGCUUACCAAGGCAACGAUGCGUAGCCGACCUGAGAGGGUGAUCGGCCACACUGGAACUGAGACACGGUCCAGACUCCUACGGGAGGCAGCAGUAGGGAAUCUUCCGCAAUGGGCGAAAGCCUGACGGAGCAACGCCGCGUGAGUGAUGAAGGUCUUCGGAUCGUAAAACUCUGUUAUUAGGGAAGAACAAAUGUGUAAGUAACUAUGCACGUCUUGACGGUACCUAAUCAGAAAGCCACGGCUAACUACGUG
RNAcentral lists this ribosomal RNA (497 nucleotides) under uncultured bacterium. RNAcentral's name for it is "partial 16S ribosomal RNA". It matches the Rfam family "Bacterial small subunit ribosomal RNA", at positions 28 to 507 of the family's 1533-position model. The record is from RNAcentral.